AUCUCCAGACAAGCGUUGUGACGCUGCAAAAUCACGCAGUCCGACCCCACCGAGCAGGAGUCACUCCAGAUCCAGGUCCCGAAGUCGCUCCCGCUCCAGAUCACGAUCUUCAGACAAGCGUCGUGACGCUGCAAAAUCACGCAGUCCGACACCAGCGAGCAGGAGUCACUCCAGAUCCAGGUCCCAAAGUC
Molecule: long non-coding RNA, 191 nt
Organism: Sinocyclocheilus anshuiensis
Lineage: Eukaryota; Metazoa; Chordata; Actinopteri; Cypriniformes; Cyprinidae
Exons: 3
Source: RefSeq, a predicted model, not a curated record